CAGAGAGCAAGUGCCUUGGCUUGCCUUGCAUUAAAUUAUAAAUAAUUUUAUCAAUAUUCUGAAGUAUGGAAUUCCAUAUUUGCAAAAAUGUGAGAUAUGGAGUCUUCCAUAGCUUCCAUAGUGGAAACGACACCCAUGUAUUUAUGAAUUCAUCAUUUUCUUUUUUCGUCAUAAAAGAUACUGUAUUCAAAUUUCGCUCUUAUUUCUAUCACUUAAUAAUCAAAAUAGAAAAAAAAGUUAACAUAAUGUUGCAAAAACGAAUGAAAAUUAGUCAAGGAUGUAUAAAAAAAAUAAUGUCCUAUAUAUAUAAAAAACACUUGAUUGUCUGGUUGUUACAAAGGUCACGCUAUACACGAUCUCUGAUCUGAAUUAUUAGCCUAUAUCGUCCAUUACUUGUUUUUUAUUACUAGUGAAAACCGAUAAGUGAUUUAGUAAUAUUCGAACUGUAACAUAAAACAAUUUGUUAACAUGGAACAAGAAAAUAUAUCCGACCUUUGCUUUAAACGGGAGACGAAUUUCAGCUGAUCAGCAGUAAGAGAUGAUCAUUACAGAUCGAUCAUAUUGAUAUAUCCGCGCUAUAAGCUGAAAUACGCAUUAUUAGUUUCUCAUCGUCGCUUAUAAAUUGUUAAUAUAGAGGAUAAUUUGUUUUCGUAAUGACAUUUUUAAGCGAAUCCUAAAUUGAACACUAUCUAAGUAAGUAUUUAAAAUUAAAAAAAAAUGUUGUAUUUUUUUUUUUUUUUAAUUUUAUUUUAAUUAAAACACUAUUGAUUGAAAGA
This 776-nucleotide long non-coding RNA is filed under the name Androctonus crassicauda. Lineage: Eukaryota; Metazoa; Arthropoda; Arachnida; Scorpiones; Buthidae. The record is from RNAcentral.